UCUCUCCUCUUUUAUAUUUUCCAUCUAGGGUGGAACAGCCAAGGGUGUUACCCUGACUGCUUUCGUUACAAUCAGUCUCCUACAGUGCCAAGAAGCGAACAUAGUCAGCAUUAAAGACCCCCUCAAAGAAACAGCUGAAUAUCUCCGUUCCUGGGUCAACGGAGGGAAGUCCAACGAUGACUAUUCCCGUGCUGUCCUCCUCACUGCGUUUGCCUUGUUGAAGGAUGAAGACUACUUUAACAGGGUCAACAAAGAACCUUUUGAUUUGGCAUCCGAAGACGAUUACAAAUUGCAUCCAAAAUCACCACCAAGGAUUGGUGGUUCGGCGUCUGUGGAAAUAGCAGCAUAUAUAUUGUUGGCUUACAGUUACAAAGGCAAAAUUGAAGAAAGCCUUCCCUUUUAUAAAUCUCUUGUCAGUCAACGAAACAGCCACGGAGGUUUCCGUUCUUCUCAGGACACUGUGAUGGGUCUUGAAGCUCUAACCCAAUAUGCCCUGCUUCUCAGCCAGAAGAAAGAUUCAUCUGUGGAUGUGAAAAUAGAGGCGGACGACGGAACCAAAUAUUCUUUCCCUACCAUCACUUACGCAAACUCAAUCAUGCUUUAUAAGAAAGAUCUUCCUUCAAGUAUAAAGAGUGUGAAAGUUGAAGUGACUGGAAAUGGUUUUGUUCUUGUCCAGGUAAGCUUCUGAUUUUAUU
Unclassified non-coding RNA from Octopus bimaculoides (California two-spot octopus), 695 nucleotides. Lineage: Eukaryota; Metazoa; Mollusca; Cephalopoda; Octopoda; Octopodidae. The record is from RefSeq and is a predicted model, not a curated record.